This 405-nucleotide ribosomal RNA is filed under the name uncultured bacterium. RNAcentral's name for it is "partial 16S ribosomal RNA". It matches the Rfam family "Bacterial small subunit ribosomal RNA", at positions 28 to 526 of the family's 1533-position model. The record is from RNAcentral.
GAUGAACGCUGGCGGCGUGCCUAAUACAUGCAAGUCGAGCGAAGCGGGGACGGGUGAGUAACACGUGGCUACCCUCCUAUAGGACUGGGAUAACUUCGGGAAACCGGAGAUCAACCGGAUACUUAUAGAUGGAUGCGCGCUGCAGUAGCUAGUUGGUACGGUAACGGCUUACCAAGGCGACGAUGCAUAGCUGACCUGAGAGGGUGAUCAGCCACACUGGAACUGAGAAACGGUCCAGACUCCUACGGGAGGCAGCAGUGGGGAAUAUUCCGCAAUGGGCGAAAGCCUGACGCAGCAACGCCGCGUGUGUGAAGAAGGUCUUCGGAUUGUAAAGCACUGUAAGUAGGGAAGCGUUACCUACUGAGAAAGCAACGGCUAACUUCGUGACAGCCGCCGCGGUAAUAC